GGGGCUGAUUCUGGAUUCGACGGGAUUUGCGAAACCCAAGGUGCAUGCCGAGGGGCGGUUGGCCUCGUAAAAAGCCGCAAAAAAUAGUCGCAAACGACGAAAACUACGCUUUAGCAGCUUAAUAACCUGCUUAGAGCCCUCUCUCCCUAGCCUCCGCUCUUAGGACGGGGAUCAAGAGAGGUCAAACCCAAAAGAGAUCGCGUGGAAGCCCUGCCUGGGGUUGAAGCGUUAAAACUUAAUCAGGCUAGUUUGUUAGUGGCGUGUCCGUCCGCAGCUGGCAAGCGAAUGUAAAGACUGACUAAGCAUGUAGUACCGAGGACGUAGGAAUUUCGGACGCGGGUUCAACUCCCGCCAGCUCCACAA
This 363-nucleotide transfer-messenger RNA is filed under the name Shigella boydii. It matches the Rfam family "transfer-messenger RNA". Rfam says of the family: Bacterial tmRNA, also known as 10Sa RNA or SsrA, is named for its dual tRNA and mRNA-like properties. Its role is to liberate the mRNA from a stalled ribosome. The record is from RNAcentral. RNAcentral also lists the same sequence under 2 other names. Lineage: Bacteria; Pseudomonadati; Pseudomonadota; Gammaproteobacteria; Enterobacterales; Enterobacteriaceae.